Molecule: ribosomal RNA, 497 nt
Filed under: uncultured bacterium
Lineage: Bacteria
Description: partial 16S ribosomal RNA
Rfam family: Bacterial small subunit ribosomal RNA
Source: RNAcentral
GACGAACGCUGGCGGCGUGCCUAAUACAUGCAAGUUGAGCGCUGAAGGUUGGUACUUGUACCAACUGGAUGAGCAGCGAACGGGUGAGUAACGCGUGGGGAAUCUGCCUUUGAGCGGGGGACAACAUUUGGAAACGAAUGCUAAUACCGCAUAAAAACUUUAAACACAAGUUUUAAGUUUGAAAGAUGCAAUUGCAUCACUCAAAGAUGAUCCCGCGUUGUAUUAGCUAGUUGGUGAGGUAAAGGCUCACCAAGGCGAUGAUACAUAGCCGACCUGAGAGGGUGAGCGGCCACAUUGGGACUGAGACACGGCCCAAACUCCUACGGGAGGCAGCAGUAGGGAAUCUUCGGCAAUGGACGAAAGUCUGACCGAGCAACGCCGCGUGGGAGAAGGAGGGUUUCGGAUCGUAAAACUCUGUUGGUAGAGAAGAACGUUGGUGAGAGUGGAAAGCUCAUCAAGUGACGGUAACUACCCAGAAAGGGACGGCUAACUACGUG